This 34550-nucleotide long non-coding RNA is filed under the name Daucus carota (carrot). RNAcentral describes it as "long non-coding RNA (DCAR_LNC001633)". Lineage: Eukaryota; Viridiplantae; Streptophyta; Magnoliopsida; Apiales; Apiaceae. The record is from RNAcentral.
ACAAGUUUAAACGAUGUGGCCAUUAUUCACCCUAAACCAGCUUUUUCAUUGUAAUUUAAAAUCAAAGUUAUAAAAAUCGGAAAUCAUUUCGAUUGUAUCGUUUAGAUCAAAUAUUUGACCCAAUUUUUAAGUACUUAUUUUCAAUAUCCAAGGACUCUUGAACAUCGUCAACUGCCCAUGCUUUUAUGGUAUGCUUCGGUGGAAGUUGUUUAUAAGACUAUACACAUGUUUGUUUGUUAAACAUUUUGUCUCUAAAAUAGCUAUUAACCAAAAAAAACAAUCAACUAGUCAAUUUUUUGCAAAAAAACCUUUAAACUUCUAUUUUCAUUAACAACCCCAAUAAAUUUUAUUAAAAUAUAUUAAAAAAAAUACAAUAUAAAUCAUGGUUAAAUCUGCCGAUCUGACUUGUCAAGUAUCUUUCCUAAUUUAUAUCUUUUUAUACACGUGAGUGCCAUGUCGUGCUUAUUCAUUAAUAAUAAUAAUAAUUUAUCCUUUAAUAAUUUAUAAUAUUCUAAUUUCAUAAACCCAUUGAAUAUCGAGAGUUUCAUCAUCUUUAUCAAAAUUACGCUUAUACAAACAAAUUUGAUUUUAUAUGAUUGCUAAAUCCUGGAAAUGAUUAGAACUUCUCGGUGACUUUAAUGUUCAUGAUUAUAGUCACGAGCAAUCUGCAAGGCAUGUAUGUGAUUUUGAAAGAGUUAUGCACACAUACUGGAGAUAGUAUUCACAGAGAAUCGGAGUAGACCUUUGUAUAUGAUCAUGUCUUUUAGUGAGAACGUUGUGAAAUUAGAUUUUAAAGAUUGAAAAUCAAUAGACAUAAAAUCUGACAUGUUGAACUUACAACGCAAGCCAGCAAUAUCAUAAUUUUUCUUAAACUUUGUUAAUUUUGAAUUCAUUUAUCCAGUCAAAUUUCAAGCGUUCACUAUAAUGAUGUAUAAUAGUGAAGUUACUGUGUGUAUUAAGGAACUGCAUCAUAGUGAAUUACCAGAACAAUGCUUGCUGUAACAAGAAGGGGAAAGGUAGCACUAAUGGUGACCAACCCAUCUUAAAGCUGAUUUUAGUGGUGCUGAUAUAUUUUUCCGUUAUUCUUACUAUUUUUUGAUUAAUUGUAAUUAAUCUGUCAUAUAAGAUAUAAUAUGAUCAUGGUUAGUCCACGUCAGCUGUAAGCAACUCUAGUUAAUUUUUUUCAAAGAUUUAGUAAAGUUUAUUGAGGUUAUUAGUGAAAAAAAAGGUAUAAAAAUUAUUUGGCAAAAAACCAAGUUAGUUGGAUUUUUUGAUUAAUAGCUCUGUCUAAAAAGAUAUUUCCAAUUUGCUUAGUAUUAGUGUAUUACCAAUAAUCUAAUUCAUUUAUCAGGAAAAAAAUCGUUUAUCUCGUUUCCUCGCAUGAAGUUUACAUUUACUUUGCUACUACACUAUUCAGUGGCCCCAAACAGUUUUAUUUUCUUCAUUCGGAUACUAUGGUGCUUAAUGCUUCAUUUUCAUAUCAAAAAGUACUGGGAAUGGAUUUAAAGAUUCGAGUUAUUUAACCCAGUUUUUUUUAGGUAAUAAUGCAUGAAGGACUUUUUUUUUAUUAUGUGGGACUGGGAUAAUUUUUACAUAUACGAAAUAAUUAAAGAAACUCGGGUAGAAUAUUUUGUAAACUAGACUCUUCUUUGUUAUCUUGACUUGAUGACGAAUAAAUUUAAUAUGAUGAAUUCGUUUUAUGAUUAAAAUUUAAUCAAGUAUCUUUAAAUGAGGUAUUAACCGCGGAUUUAAGAUUUUCUAAAAUAAUUUGUUAAACAUUUGAUUAAUAUUUAUUAAACAAUAUUUUAUAGAAUUAACUAUGUGACCGUAAGUUAUACAGAAAUCGUUUACUUUGUCUGAUAAUAAUUUGCACUUCCUUUCAAAGUAUUAUUGUUUUGAUAAAAAUAUAAAUUGUGGAUAUUUUUAGGAUAAUUAAUGUAACGGUCUUUUGAAUUGCCAAAAAUCGUAAAUAAUACAUGGUUGCCAUAUAUGCAUAUAUGUGCGAAUAUUACGGAUGCCAGAUGCUCUGGGAUGAUAUAUUUUUUAAAGGAAACGUAGCUGAAUAGCCUAAAUGGGCCUGUAAGGAUAUAACGACUCUAUUUCAGGAAGGGAGUUUAACUUAAGAAGCAGCUAAAUGGGCUUCAAGUGGAUAAUCCAGUUUAUAAUGGAUCCAAAUUGUGAAAAACUCGCACCCAAUUUGCUUGAUCACAAACUUAGGCAGAAAUCAAAAUAUAUUCGAAUCAAAUGGGCCACCUCCGGAUUAGCCCGUCAUUCAAUACAUAUAUUUUCACGACAUUGUCUCCGUCUCUUGCUCGACAAGUUAAAGAAAAGGCAGAUAUGUCAUGGCUUUUCUGUUUCACAUACAGUAACAUAAAAUAAACAUUUUAUUGAUUCAACAAAUGAAUACUUUUCUUGUUAUUCACUUCUCAAAAAUCACCAGCAGAUGAUUACAGGUUAGUAAAGCUUCAAUCUCUAGUUGUUUUUUUUAAUAAAUCUUUAGUUCUUUUUCUAUUUGUAUUUGUGUAUCUAUUUUCUUGGCUUAAAAGUUGGAAUAUGAUUAUGUGUUUUUGUGUGUGUUUCAGUGUUUAUGAUUUGGUUUGAAUUCUGGGUUUUAGUUAUUUAGUUGAAUGGUGUAGUAAGAAUGGCUGCUUUGAGGUUAGCCAAGAGUAGAUCACUAGGCAGUAGUUGCUUUAGUUUUGGUAGGGAUUUGAGCAGAAUUGAGACUAGGGUUUUGUUUAGUUUGAUGAAUACUUCUAGUUUCUGUACAAAUUCAUCUGGGUUUGUGUUGGAUAAUAUUGGUGGUAAAUUUGAUUGUAAGGGGGGGAAGGAUUUAGGGAGUGAUAGGGCAAAAUGGUGUGGUACAUUUUCCGCAAUGCCUGUGAGGUUAGGGAGUAAUGUUUUGGGUUUUGGGGGGAGUUUUGGGAUGGUGAGUCAGAGGUUGUAUUCGUCGAAUGCUGUGGGUGGGAAUGUGGAUAAGAGUGGGGGUAGUGAAGUUGGGGUUAGUUCGGGUGGUGUGGAUGUGAGUGAUGGGGGUUUUGGGGGAGGGGACUGGGUCGAGAAGGUUAAGGGUGCUUGGAAAUCUGUUAUUGAUGCUGGGAAUUAUACUGGGGAAAAGGUUAAGGAAGUGUCUGAUGAACUUAUGCCUUAUGGUCAGCAGUUGCUUGAUACGCAUCCUUAUCUUAAGGAUGUCAUUGUGCCAGUGGGAUGCACUUUGACGGGUACAAUAUUGGCUUGGUUUGUGAUGCCUAAGGUUUUGAGGAGAUUUCAUAAGUUUUCAAUGCAAGGGCCUGCUCAACUGUUAUCGGGUAGCUCGUUAUGGGGUCCGGUGCCAUAUGAGAGAAGUUUUUGGGGGGCUCUGGAGGAUCCACUGCGAUAUGUCGUUACCUUCAUGGCGUUCUCCCAAAUGUUAGCACCCCUUCCUUCUUUUUUACUUUUAAGUCAGCAUGCUUAUUUUGACUUUUGAAAUUCUAUCGUUAAAAUAUUUGUUUGUUUGUUGUUGUUUUCUUUAUGUAUACAGCGCAAAUAUGGUAGCACCUACUACAAUUGCAUCACAAUACAUUUUACAGACUUGGAGAGGUGCUGUUAUUCUUUCAGUUGUAUGGUUCCUGCAUAGAUGGAAGACAAAUGUCAUUUCUCGUGCUUUAGCCUCAAAGAGCUCACAAGGACUAGUCGAUCGAGAUAAGCUGUUGGCCAUUGACAAAAUAUCAUCUGUUGCUCUAUUUUCGCUUGGUUUAAUGGCUUUAGCUGAGGCAUUUGGGGUGGCAGUGCAAUCGAUACUUACUGUUGGAGGCAUAGGAGGCAAGUCUUACAUAAAAAAAAUUAUGCUCUUCACCUCAAUAUAAUUUCUGUAUGUUAAUUUAAAGGUGUUGAAAUAUACGCAGGACGUGAAACUGUUUGUUUAACAUGGACGGAACACUUAUGUCACUGAUAUAUUAUUCUUUAAACUAGUUCAUUUCUUAUAAUUUCUCAUGAUGAUCGUUUGGAAUGGCUUAAGUCGUAUAAUUUAUAAUGUACACGCCAUCAAGCAAUAAUUUAAGUUUUUGAAGAUGAAUUGAGUUCUGAGUUGACAUGAAUAUGUGCUUGUGCAGGAGUUGCUACUGCUUUUGCAUCAAAGGACAUUCUGGGAAAUGUUCUUAGUGGGUUGUCUGUACAAAUGUCACGGCCGUUUUCAGUAGGAGAUACAAUUAGAGUAAGUUAAAUUUGUUAUGUGAAUUUAGUUAUAGAUCUUUGUUUUUUGUUGCCAAUUCUAGUAAUGAUAAUCGAAGGUUUUUUCCUCUGAAUUUUCUGAUUACCCUCAUAAUCAUUUGAGUCCAGUACAAGUAUUCUUACUCUUUUACUACAUAAUCAUUGGUUAACUUAAGAAACCAACUUCUGCAUUCCAUAUCCAUCUACAGUAUUAUUUUGAUGAAUCAACUGGCAUUUAGUUCAGAAGAGAAUUUGCAGUUUUCCUAGGCCUUCUUAUCUUGCUCAGUCUAAGAGGCAAUUUAAAUGGGAAAAAGUUUCAUUGAGCAAUCCUAUCAUGAAAUUUCAGAAUUAUAAGGAAUGAUGAAUUAGUAACAGGCUAGCUGCUGAUAUACAGUGAUGAAGGCUGUAGUUUCAAAAAAAGAUAACUGAGCUCUAUUUAUUGCCUAAAAAAUUGUUAGCUCAGGAAUAAUUUCUUCUUGUGGAUAAUAUUUGUGUUUAUACCAUCUUAUCACCAUUGUAACAUCCAAAGUCAAGCUCUUAUCCUCAACCCAUAGUGUCUUUAAGAUGAUGUACUCUCAGAAGAUUAGAUUUAAAUCAUAACCUAUGUUUGCUUUAAAACCCCUCUCCUAAUGAUAUUCUAAGAGGUUACUGUUUUCCUGCAGGCUGGAUCUGUGGAAGGUCAGGUGGUAGAAAUGGGACUUACAACCACCAGAUUGUUAAGUGCGGAAAAGUUUCCUGUUAUAGUUCCGAACUCACUCUUUUCAAGUCAGGUUGGAUGUUACCCUCUUUGUCACUUAUUUGUAAAUGCUGCAUUUCUGCAACUGUUAUGUGGAAUUAUCAUCGUCAAACUAAACUUGCUAUUUACACUCAUAAUCUAGCAUACAUUUGGGUCACCAGGCUGCAUAAUAAUGACAAUACUCACAAUAGUACGAGCCUAAGAUAAAGUUUGGUGCAAUAUAAUUGGCUAUGGCCAGCGUACCAAGAUUAAACUGUUUCUCGAUUUUCUUGUUAGUUGGUUGUAGAACGUGAAAUAUCUUUUCCCAGACAUUCAUUUGUGUCGUAAUUAAUCCUAGAUUUAUUAUGUCGCAUAUCUUCAUCAGUACUGCUAGCCUUUAAUAUGUUCUGUUAAGAGUACUUCUAGUAUUCUGGCACAUUGCCUUCAGUAUGAUAUGAUUUUUAUCCGCAUAUGUGUUACUAUGGUAUAUAUAAUUUGGUAGUAACAUGUUUCCGUACCCUGUUAUGCUUUUAUGUCUUUUGUAGGUUAUUGUGAAUAAAUCACGUGCUGAAUGGCGUGCUAUGCUCACUAAGAUACCUUUACAUAUCAGUGAGUUUGACAAGAUUCCCCAGAUUUCAGAUGAUAUAACGAAUAUGAUCAAAUCAAACUCAAAUGUGUUCUUGGAAAGGGAAGUACCUUAUUGUUUCUUGUCUAGAGUGGAAAGAUCUUAUGCAGAACUGACUCUUGGCUACAAUCUAAAACAUAUGGUAUGUUCGUACUGUUUUCUCAGGAUAAGAAAAUCACAGGUCACAAUUAGGUUAUUGUUUUAAAGCUUGCCAGUUACUGUUACAAUCAACAUUGCACUUUCUUGUGUUUUGGUUGGCAAGUAUAGUAAGGAUUUAUUUUUAAAAUGUUACUUUUUGGCUGAUGAAUCCGGCAUACAUAGAAGAAGAAAAUGGCUAUUCAGGUUUAACUUGGACUACAAGGAUUAAACCUACUAAGGAUAAUCAACCCAUAUUAUAUGACUCAAAACAAUAGCAUCUCUAAUAUUGCUAGGUAAUUACUUAUCAAAAUGUUCUGAUCAAAUAAAAUAUAUUUUCUUGAACCUCUUUUGAAUCCUGUUCUUUAUGUGAUUAUUUUCACUACUUGAGCUUUCUGCACACAGUUAUUCUCACAGCUCUUUCUAGUCUCAAUGCAGUGUGCUAGAUACAUCUUUCCUAAUCUCAUCACCACUUAAUAUGUAUGUAUAUUUGACUCCAUUAUAUUGAUUUUCGGUUGUGGUUCUAGAGGAAAGACUUGUUAUGCGCAGCAGAGCAAGAUAUUCUCCUGAAAUCCGUCCAGAUUAUCCAGCAACACGGUGCUACACUGGGCAGUACUUUUGAAGAUUCGAUUGGCCAAUGAUUCCACUUCCUGUGUUUUUGGUGACCAGCUACUGUCUCACUGAUACUGUAGCAUGUACAAACAAUCUCGAGUUUAAAGGUUUAACCUGAUCUCUAUAGUAUCUCUUACGUGAGUAGUUAUUUAGACUUGAAGCAUGAGUUGUGAUGCAGAAAGUGUGGGUUCAGCACUACGAUGAUAUGAACGGAGCUUGACAGUGUUUGUUUUGUGUUGAUCGCUUUGUUCAUACCAAAGUAGUUGUGAGAUUAGUGUGAUGGUUACCUUUUGUGAGAUUAUUGCAAGGGCUACCUUAAACCGCAAGAAAAUGAAUCUCUUUUUUGACAUUGAGCUGAUACAGCCAUAUCACUGGAAGCAUUUAUGCAUUCGUUAAUAUUUAUUAAUUCGCGGCUUCCCUUGUAACACCUUAUCUAAUUUAGGUCCGGUUUGGUAUUGUUGUUGAGAUAGAAAAAUUGUUUUGUAAAUUUAAAAGUAGUUUUUUCAGAGGAGUGAGUCCCGUAAAGUUGCUCGUGUGAUUUUGCAAUAACACGUCAGUUUUUAACGGGACAUGGAUUUUUAUCGUAUUGUACAUGGGUGGGAGGUUGUUAAGACAAUUGAUGACUAGGUUCCACUCUUUGUCUAUUUAGAAAUUAAAAAUUUUAUCAUCGUCCCUUUAUGCACGAGCAAAAAGCUUCAUCUGCAGCUUCAAAUGUUAUAAUAUUGCAGCCUCUUGGUCCCCGAUGAAAUAAAGAAUUGUUCUUUAGUGGACAUAAUCAUCACCUUAUAUCUACCUGCAUUACUCAGCUUGAUCAAGGGUCGUUUUUGGUUGUCUUUUACAUGUAAAAUUGUGGAUUUUAAGAAUAUUCAUUAUACCGAGAUUUAACUAUUUGUAUAAGAUAUAAGUGGGGGAUAAAUACAAGUGGAGGCAUGUUCACCCGUGAAGUGGGUCGGCAGUAGUGGGGAUGACUAAAGGAGGUGGUGGAGGAGGAGGAGGAGGAGGAGAGAGGCUCACGAGAAGCGAAUAUUAAGCUACCCAUAUAAUUACCGUCAACGGGUCCCACUGAUAUACUUUCCAACUGAAGAAUUCCAAAACAACUGAUAAACUACACAUGUUUCGCAGUAUAUUUAAUUUUAUUAAUCACAGAUGCACAGAGGACACAGUUGCUUUUUGUUUUUUUACCUUUUUUUUAUCGAUUCGAUGAAUGAUAAAGUUGAUGGUGAUUUUUUUUUUUUCAGAGAUUGUCAUUGUUAUAAAAAGUUCUGUUAAUUAAAUUACACAAUCUCUGUUUUUUAUACAAUGUUUUGACUUUUGACAUGCAUAUUUAGGUUGGUUGAUCAGUAAAAUUAUUAUAUUUAGUCUUUUUAUGAAUUAAAAUUUUGAUAUUAUAUAUUUUUAUUUAAAAUAUAAAAUUUAAUUAUAUGAUUAAAAUAAUUAAAAAUAUGUGCCAAUAGUCAAAAUGAAUAACAGAGGGAGUGGUGGUCAUUGCCCAAAGGUGUUCGCAAGAACAAUAUUCAAGCUUCGAGUCAAUAAAAACACUCGAGCAUUUUUGGCACUUUUCUAGUUCAUUGCUUACAAGUUUUGUAUCUUAAUUCUUAAGCUUGUUUUUAUUUAAUUAUGAGAAUACGGCAAGUGAUUGAUGUAAAUUAAAUUUGAUCUUCGAUAAAACCUUCUCAUCCUACUUUUUUGUAUGAAUCCAAGAAUUCUUGUUAUAUGACAUUUUAGAGGAUUUAAUUUUCGGAGAAAAAAGAUGCAAAAGAAUGACACAACCCCAUGAAUGCUCGCUCAACUGCUCAAGUAAAAAGCAUAUACUAGUGGUCCAGUUGGUGCUGAGUCCUAUAAAUACUCAUUUCUGUGUAUGCUUUUAGUUAAAAAAACAUUCCAUAUCACAUUCUCAACAAUGGGCAUAAUGUGCAACACCAGCUUUAACAAGUACUCUCAAGUAAGAAACAAGGUGUUGGUGUGGCGGUAGAGCUCUUGUACCCCCUUGCGGGAGGUCGGGAGUUCCCCGUGUGGUGCGAAAAAAAAAAAAAAAAAAAAAAAAAAAAAAAAAAAAAAAGAAACUCUACGAAUAGGCUUCACCGCCUAGCUUCUUCAACUUUGUUUAAUCAUGUGUUUUCUACUCACAGGUGAUGAAGACGAUAUGGGUACUCGUUGUGUUGAUGGUGGGAGUGGUGAAUUUAAGAGGAGCCGAAUGCAGAAAAGCCAAGAAAAGAGUGGAGAACACCUUAGAGUACAGUGCCAUAAGUUGCAGAGCUCACAGUGCAUCCAUAACGGAUUAUGGAGGCAUUGGAGAUGGCAAGACAUCCAACACCAAGGCCUUUAGAGAAGCCAUCUCUCAUUUGAGCCGGUACGAAGCAGACGGGGGAGCUCAGCUCUUUGUUCCUCCUGGACAAUGGUUAACCGGAAGCUUCAACCUCACGAGCCAUUUCACUCUUUUUCUACACAAAGACGCUGUCCUCCUUGCUUCCCAGGUAUUUUCCUUGGUCCCUGCUUCCGGGGUGGUCCUGGCUAUAGACGAACUAGCGUUGUGCCCUGUGACACGGAAUGUAAAUUAAAUUUUGAAAAUGGAUUGUUCAGGAAAUUAGUGAAUGGGCGGUGAUUGCACCCUUGCCAUCUUACGGUCAUGGAAGGGACACCGCAGGUGGAAGGUACAUCAGUCUCAUUUUCGGGACAAACCUCACGGAUGUUGUCGUCACAGGCAAGCCUUAUUAGAUAAACUUUAUGAUUGGCUUCUCAACAAUAACUCGUAUAUCUCCUAACAAGAAACUUGAUGAUGAUCAUGUCAAACCAGGUGAAAAUGGCACAAUUGACGGCCAGGGUGCUCUUUGGUGGCAACAAUUUCAUAAGAAAAAACUGAAAUAUACACGACCUUACCUUAUUGAAAUCAUGCAUUCUGAUAACAUUCAGAUUUCAAAUCUUACAUUUCUAAACUCCCCGUCAUGGAAUGUUCAUCCUGUUUAUAGCAGGUAUGUAUGGUUUUUGAGUUUUGCUGCGGAAGUUAAAAGAUGACUCUAGUCUGAUAGUCACAUACUCUUUAAACAUAAUUUGCAGCAACAUCAUUAUCCAAGGGAUUACGAUUUUAGCACCCGUCACAUCUCCAAAUACGGACGGAAUAAAUCCAGGUUAGCAGAGUUUACCUGUCUUUAACACAUUAUGCUGAACAUCCUCACCAAGCAAAAACGUUUCUUUUUUCACCUACAGAUUCUUGCACAAAUACGAAAAUUGAGGAUACCUACAUUGUCUCUGGAGAUGAUUGCAUAGCUGUUAAAAGUGGUUGGGAUGAAUAUGGUAUAUCAUACGGUAUGCCUACCAAACAACUGAUCAUCAGACGGCUGACAUGCAUUUCGCCAUACAGUGCUGCCAUUGCUUUAGGAAGCGAAAUGUCAGGUGGGAUUGAAGAUGUCAGAGCCGAAGAUAUCACAGCCAUUAACACAGAAUCAGGGGUCAGGAUCAAAACGGGAGUGGGGCGGGGAGGUUAUGUGAAAGACAUAUACGUAAAAGGCAUGAACUUGCAUACAAUGAAAUGGGUGUUUUGGAUGACAGGAAACUACGGCUCUCAUGCUGAUUCUCACUAUGAUCCUAAAGCGCUACCAGUGAUUCAAGGGAUCAAUUACAGAGACAUUACCGCAGAGAAUGUGUCAAUGGCUGCUCGACUUGAGGGCAUUUCAGGCGAUCCAUUCACCGGGAUAUGUAUAUCUAAUGCAACGAUAGGUUUGGCAAAGAAGGCAAAGAAGGUACCUUGGACUUGUACUGAUAUUGCCGGAGUUACAAGUGGUGUGCUUCCUAAGCCCUGCAGUUCGCUACCUGAUCAAGGGCCGGAGAAAGUAGGAAUGUGUUCAUUUCCUACUGAUAAUCUACCAAUUGAUGAUGUAGAAAUCAAGAAAUGUUCUUAUAGAAUGGGCUAAAUACAGAUUGCUUCCAUACAGCUAUAUUUCACCUGUGUCUCUAGUACUGUAUAACUAUUUGGAUUGUCAGCAAAGCAUGUUUUAAUUCUUUUCAAGGAUAAGUUAAAGGCUAAUUUGCCCUAAUAUUUACAGGUUAAAAAAACAAAAUUUGAAGUGAUUGCAAUCAUUUUAUACUACCUGUCGAUUUGAAAAUUACAUUUUCACGUGAAAAAAGAAAUAUCAUUUCACCACCAAGGUACAGAGUUAGAAAACUCAACAAAGAGUAACACUAUAAACUCUACUAGUCUACUGCAGCUCAGAAUAUUACAAGGAUGAUAAAAGAAUCGCAAUGUUAAUAGUAGAAACAACUUUUGUUAACCCUCAAUAUAUCCACUCUAUUUAUUUGAACUGUUCUACUUGAGGAUCAUUCUUAAGAUGAUAUUGGCUCUGUAACACCUAACAACAUUCGAUAACACUCACUUGUCAAAUGAAAUUCCUUAAUAAAUCGGGUCAGGAUUGAAUUUCACAGAUUCCCUCCAGAUGAGUUCCUUGAUAUUCUCUUCAGUGCAGGAUGGCUGCUCAAAGUCGAAACUAAAAGGCUGAGGGCAAACAGGCUCCUCAUUUAUGUCAUGAAGGGGUGCCAAGUAUGGGUGGCAAAGUGCCUCAUCAACUGCCAAAAAGAAGAAAAAAAACAAUUGUCAUUACCUGGAAAUGCGAACAAAGAAAGUUAAUUCAGGACAUGAGUUCAAAAUUGCAGGUGCCCUGUUAUUUUUCUUUAAAAGGAUCAUCCAAAUUCUAAAUUCUUUGAAAGAAUGAAAAUAACUAAAAUAUAAGCCAGACCUGUGAUACGCCUGUUGGGAUCAAAGAUGAGCAUUUUCUCCAGCAAAUCUAAAGCUCCUGGAGAUUUGUUAAGAAAUCUAGCUGAGAAUUGUUGCCUUGGAUACUGGGGAAGCUGCCUCACGUAUCUCCGGGCAUUAUCACUUCUGAGAAACCCAAGACUGGCAUCAUCAGGUGAACCUAUGAGCUUUUAAACAAACAAAAAAUAACAUAUGUUGUCACGGCAAUCCAGAUUGCAAGAUGAAAAUCAAAAGCUUUAAACAUUUUUUUCAUUUCCAUAUCGCUAACAGAUAUAUUAGAAGUCAACAAUACACAGUAGUGCAGAACUCUGCAGAACUCCUGAUAACUUUAUAACAAAGGAAACAACUUCAUUACCACUGUUUUUGCAUCUACUAUAUAAGGGAGAUGGUCCCUGACAAAUGAUUGUUGUCAACAAUCUAUACACUGUAAAAGAUCGCGGAAAGGCAAAAACCCUAGAGUGGGUGUCUAAUCCGCGGAUGGGCCUGAUGGGCCCCCUGCUUGCACAUAAAAAACCUAGUGCAACAAACACUUGUUAGGGAGCCAAACCCAUAUAAUAAUUAGUUGACACUACUAAAACUAAAUAUAUAUAUUUUUAAAAGGUUAUGCCCAGAUGCCACAGGCAAACAUAUCCACCUAAACUCACCUACAGAGAAUAUAAACAUAAAGAAUAUGUAUAUGACUACUUGCCAUCGAAUCUCAGAAAACUUGAGCAGAAGAACAAGCAAUUUCCAAAGUUGCAAUAGACAUCACGUGUCCUAGUAAGGUGAUUUGAUUAUUUCCUGAUGCGCACACAAGUAUAUAGCCGCAAAACUAAUAUAACAUAGAGACUAGAAUUUCUGAGAAUGGACUAAUGGUUAAUUUGUAGCAAGUUAAAUACCUCAUUCUUCCUUAACCAGUCCCCAACCCCUCCACAGCUAACAAGAAAAAUAUAUUAAAGGUAAUACCUCAGUAAUCAGUCUCAGCUGAUGUACAUAAUCUUUGCCAGGGAACAAGGGCUGUCGAGUCAUAAUUUCACCAAGUAUGCAACCGACUGACCAGAUAUCAAUUGCUGCAGUGUACUCUGAACAAUUAAGGAGCAAUUCAGGGGCCCGGUACCAACGAGUAACAACAUAUUCAGUCAUGAAAUCAGUUUCAGAAGUUGUCCUUGCAAGACCGAAAUCUCCAAUUUUCAAGUCACAGUUUGCAUUAAGGAGCAGAUUGCUAGGCUUUAAGUCACGGUGCAAGACAUUUGCAGAAUGAACAUACUUCAGUCCUCGCAAUAGUUGGUAAAGAAAAUACUGCACAAGUAACAGAGAACUUUAGACCUCUCCUAUGUCAGAUUCACGCAAUCUGAUUUGGAGAACACAAUCAUGUGAACUUCAGAAUGCUUCUUGUAGCUGACCAUUCCUCAUUGGUUACAAUAAUGCAGAUCAAACUGAUAUACAAAGCCAGUAGCACUUCUAUGAAUGGGGAAAGGUCAAAAUACAUACAUGUUAUACCUUACAUCUUUAUAUUAAAAUACUGAUGAUAUCAUCAGCAGUGUGGAUUUGAAACAAGUGCUACUUCUCCCGUCUUCACUAAUGUUGUAUUUGGUUGGGGUGAAUGAAUAUGGAAGGAAUGGAAUGAAAUUUGAACCAUGUGACGGGCAAUUGUUUAUAAAUUUGGUUCCUUCCUCCAUUCCUUUCCUUACACCCUAUACUAGAGAUCACAUCCCCAAUUUGGGUAGGAAUGCUCCAUUCCCUCCUAUACUCAAUUUCAUCUCGAAUCUCAUCAUAACAAUUUUGCACUCACUCAUUCUUUUCCAAAAUUUCCCUCCUACCUCUAUUAGUUUAUUAUUUUAGUCAUUCCAUUCCAUUCUCCUCAACCAAACACAUGAUAAGGGUUUCAUAUUUUAAGUCUAAAAGGAAGAGUGGAAGACACUUAAUAUUAAGUUUUCGACCAAUACAUGUAAAAUUCAGAAUGCUUCAUUGGUCACCAAUAGUACAGAUCACGCUAAUAUACAAAGCCAUCAUCACGAGUGGGUGAAGGUCAUGAUACAUUAAUACAUACAUGUUAGCCUUGCAUUUUUAUGUUUUAAUACUGAUGAUAUCAUCAGCAAUUAGGAUAUUAAGCAAGGGCAACUUCUCCUGUCUACACUAAGAGUUUUCUAUGUUAAGUCUAAGAGGAAGAGUGGAAGACACUCAAAUACUCAAUAUUAAGUUCUCGACAGAUACAACUUACAAGUGUGUCAUACUGUCAUCACAGUUCACAUAGAUCUAGUCUAAAGGCCUUCAUAAACAGUAGCUAGCUUGAAGGUUGUCAAAGUAGACCAAUAGUUGAUGAUCACUGAUCAGCCUAAUCACAAUAAGUCAAAGUUCUACCAGUCAGCCUGACAAUUAUUUCUUAUAAAUAUAUUUCUAUUAAAAUAAGCGUUAUGCACGGAAAUAGAACUGUUGGCUAAAUGUAGAUCGGGGAAUGGUGAGAGGUGGCAAAUAAAGCAAGCACAGUGCAAUGAGGACAGGACUGAGUUUCACUGCGGCAAUGAGUUUAUUUCAUUGUCAAUUUUAGUACUUUAUGAGGUGUUUUGUAAACUAAACAUGAUUCCCAGGCUUGUCGAAUCAAAUAAGUACAAGAAUAUGGCAACUAUAUAAGAAAAAAUAUUCUGUGUGAACCAAAGUGUGAGGUCAAACCCGACAAUGAUCAUCUGUAAGUUGUUGGUUAGAGCGAAUUAUCUGAUGAAGAUCUGUGUCCAUUAAUUCAUAGACAAUGUACACAUCAUUAAAAGUUUCCUUCUGUGGAGGCCUUAUGAUGUCUUUGAUGGCAAUUACCUGCAAUUGUUAAAAAAUACAGAAAGCUGAACUUUAAACAUUCUUAAUUUAUUAGCUGGAUUUGUAAAUCAACAUGAAGAAUAGUAAAAUAUACUCCAGUGGUUAGUCCACCAACUAGGCAAUAGAAUCAGUACCAAAUGAAGGUCUGCUAUCUUCAGGUUAUUAACUAUGAAGUUGAGCAGGACUUACAUUUUCAUGAUCCAUGUGACGAAGAAGUUUAAUUUCCCUAAGCGUCCUCUUCGCAUCUAUUCGAUUGUCAAAUGCAUUACCAAUUUUCUUGAUGGCAACUUCCUCACGAGUAUCAGAAUUCAUAGCGGCACUGGAGCAAUUAACAAAACAAUUUUGUUAUAUGGUGUUGAUUAGAAAGAAAAACAAGUCGACAACUUUAUACACAGACAAUAAAAAAUAUUUCAUGGUGUCACUCACUGACACAAGGCAUACACAGUCUGGUUCAUCGAUGUAUGUAGAAUCCAAGAUACCAUGUUUGUUAACUACUACCUCCGUCCCUAUUUAUCUGUCCACUUUUAACAUUUUCACGCAUAUUAAGAAAAUUUAAGUUUGAUAAGAAACUUCUAUCAAUACCCUUAUUUAAUGCCUUAAUUGUAGGAAAAUACUAGUGGGAUUACUCGAUUAUCAAAUACAAAUAUGAUGAAUCAGUGAAUAAUAGUCAUGAUAUUUAUAGCUUGAAGAACAAAGUCAAAGACUUUGCAGGUUAUUAAAUGCAAAAUUUUGCUUUGAUUAUAUAAAUGGACAGAUAAAUAGGGACGGAGGGAGUAAUAUAUUAUACUCCCUCUGUCCUUUUAUAGUCAGCAUUUUACCAACUUUGUAAUGCAUAUAAUAUUUAUUAUAUGAUCAAGAUAACUCAACAAAAGGAAUAUAAUAAGAAACUGCAUUUAAUGCAUCAUAAGAUUCUGUUUUUCAUAUUUAGAAAGAAAUUAAAAAAACAUACUUUUAAUCUUAAUAUAUAAUUGGCCAAAUUAACCAAAAUACCAAUAUGACAAUAUAAAUGUGACGAUGGGAGUAUUUUUAACUAAUGUAACAUCAUAUACCAUUUAAAUGAUAUCAAAAGCUUUGAUUGUAAAAAAUGGCUAUAGAGAAUUAGAAUAAAUAAAUGGAAAUAUAAAAUUAGGUGAAAAACAUUUUAUUUUUUUGGUAAGGUCGAUCUAAAAAAAAUUAAUAUUCACGCGCACAUUCCUCUCCACUGAGACUCGAAAUUUUGACCAUUGAUAACUAAGAAUGACGGAUAUGUGCUGGAUUUGAGGACAGAAUGAAUUGACGAAAGUGAAAAUGGACAUGAAGGUGACAACCAACACUAAUACCAACUGACUAAUAAGGUGACAUCGCGAUAAAGUAAAUAUGUAAAGAACCAAGGAGGGACAGAAGCAGCUAGUAAACUGCAUGAGUCACCAAAAAAGAAAAGCAAUUAUGGUGCUAUCAUUCACAUAAUUAUACAUCGAUUAAUUAAUGAGCACCAUAUGCAUAUGCAGUCUGAACUUUACAGCAUUGAUGACAAAAAAAGAGUACAAAAGGGCUUUUAUCAACGUGAUUACACGGUAACAACUUGCUAAUAAACAGCUAACCUAAUCUCAAAAGCUUGAUUCCUGCAGGGCACUUAAUUCAUUAGACAUGUGCAGUCUCAGUGCAGUCACGCGGACAAAAAACUAGAUUCUAAUCAUCAUGAUAACAGAGUUCAAGCACGACUUCAACUACAAUCUAGCUUCCACUCAGUAUAAUCAUCACCAAAAUCUACUUAAUUUGGGGAUUUAGGUCUAAGCAUAGUUCCACCGUAAAUCAGAGUCAUUACAUGAAACACAAAAACAGAUCAAAUUUCCCAAACAUCCAUCAACUUCCACAAGACCAAGGCAAGUCAAGUAAACUUAACAUGAAGUCAUUCACAAGAUUUCAACAGUCUAACCACAUUUGACAUCUAAAAAGUACUUCCAAAUUCCAAUUCAAGAACUAACCAACUAAAGACACCAAAUCACAAACACAUAAUCAAGAUUUACUUCCUACUUAUAUCACACCGUUCAUCAACAACUAGAAGCACAAAUACCAACUAAAUCAAGAUCAAAAUACAGUAAAAAGGAAGAGAUUAUACCAGACAAUCCCAUAGGCCCCACGACCGACAGGGCGGAUCGGAGGGACAUAUUUUCUUGAAACCUCAAAGAGAUUGCCAUACACAUUGUACUGAACAUAUCUUCCACCAUGAGUUGGAACUCCUUUAAUAUGUCCAUGAUCAGCUGCUGCUGCUGAGCUUGGUUCCAUAGAUUGAAAUGAAACAAACAAAGAAAACCCAGAAAAUAAAAAAACCCAACUUGAAAAUAAAACUCUAUAAAGAUUGGAUUUUGGAGAGACAAAAACAAGAACAAGGUGCUAACUUUGGGGAAAAUGCAAAAAGAGGUUUGUGGGUUGCUAUGGAUUUAUGGUUUUUUGACAUUUGUUUGGGGGAAUAUGGUGAAAAUUGAUAAUGGAUUCUGACCUAUUUUUUGUUCUUAUUUAUUUUAAAAGAAAAAAAAAUCAAAACAAAGGAAAUUUACAGGAAAAGAGGAGAGAGAAUUGUAAAAAAGAGAAGUCUUUUUGAACUAAAUAUGACAUGAUUAUCCGUGAAGAGGGGUUGAUAAGUUUCAUGUGUGAAUGCAACACUUUACAUACAUGUGUAGUUUUUAUGGAAGGUGAUAAUGAUGUAUACACUUGUCAUACAUUUUUUUAGAUAUGAAUCAAAUUUUUAGAUAGAAAUAAAACGGGUAUAUACGGGGAAAAGGUGUGAACGUGGUUAAAUAGAAAAAAAUGAAAAAAAUAAGUUUCAAAUAUGAAAAAAUUGACAUGGUUAAAUAGAAAAUUUUAAUCAAUUCGAUUUAAUAUGAACGGUGGAAGGGUCAAUUUCAUUUUUAAUUCAUAUAAUAAAUACAGCAAAUCAGAUCACGGUGUGUGAUAUUCUCAAACUUUUUUGUGAAUCCCUUUGAAGUUCUACUAUUUUUCAAAUAAUUAAUAUAUUUAUAUGAUAUGCUAUUAUAAAUAUGAAUAAUAAAUCUUGCCGUGAGUCUAACGAGGAGUAACAUAUAUUUUAUGACAAAGUUGCAUCAAGGAGAGAAUAUGUAUUCAGCCUCGAUAAAGUCCUGUACGCAUUUGUGUACCCAGUGCAAAAUACAUCUAACAUAUAAUUUAAUAAAAUCAAGCUGCUUCACAUAGACGAGAAAGAGACGACCUAAGAAUACUGUAUAUAGAAUGUGGUAAUUCACAAUACUAGGGGAUUGAUUUUCUGACACACUUGUAAAAAAGUACUCCCUCCGUUUCUUUUUACUUUGCUCAUUUGAAAUGUCGGGACUGUUCAUAACAUGAGACAAAUGAUUAAUUUACGCCAAAUCUAUAAGACCAAAUAUAGUCAUGAGUGAUCUUGUUAGAUUCAUAUUUAUGAGUAUUUUAAUACGAUAAAAUUUGUAUAUUUAAUACUAAUAUAAAACUAAAGAUAUUAACGAUAAGAAGUGUGCGUUGGCAAACGUGUCCAAGGCAAACAGGAAAAGUAAUAAGAGACGGAGGGAGUAUUGACUAUAUAUAAUAAUUAUAUUUAAUAUCUUAUUUUUUUCUUCAAAAUAAAAGUUUAAAUUUAUUCUCAAAUUUAUAAAACGAAAAUUUGAAAAAUAAUAACUCAGAUCAAUAUACUUAAAAAUAUGUAUCAUAAAAUUAAAUACUACUAUUUAUUUGAAACAGAGAGUAGUCGCAGAAAACCAGUUUCCUCUCCAUUUCUUCCACAAAUUCAAAGAGAAAAGUCUUCAAGACAAAUGCUUGCAAUAACCGAUUUACCAACCAACACUAAAAGAUGGACAAAGUCAGAGCUGGCUGCCUUGCCUUGGAAUACCAUAAGAAAGUUGAAUGACCAAACACCAAGUUCAGUUGACUUAGAAUGUUUCCAGGCCAUUGUUUCUCCUCCAUUGACCCAAAAAGAACCUUUCUUGGGUGUUUUCGGUGUUCGGUUUAUAGGUCACAUUCCAAUGAAUGACUUGUUACGCGAAGAUGAUUAGUUGAUUAUAGCAUUAAGUUAAGAAUUUUCGUAAAAUUAAGAAAAUCUCAGGACAAGACUUCAUAUAAGUAUUAUUAUAUUAUACACGUAGUACUUAUUUUGUUUUAGAACUUUCUUUUUGACACAUAUUUUUAUAUCUUUUGACCACACUGUUAAAUUAAUUUUUUUAAUUUUCAUUUUCUGAAUUAUAAUAUUAAUCAUAUAUUGUAUUUUUAAAAAAAUUUGAAAAUAAGAAUUUAAACUAUCACUUUAAAAAUUUUAAAAUGUGUGUCAAGAAAUAGAAUGAGCAGUUAAUUGAUGUCACCUAAAUCUUCUCGAAAACAGCCCAGCGAUGCUAGAGUGAUCUUCGUAUUCAUUCUCCAUUGAUCCUUGUAAUGAAUUAAUUCAUCUAUAUGAGAACGAAGAGAAGAGCGGCAAGAUAAUUCCUCCAUCAGAAACAAAUAGGUUGCCAGAGACAGUAGAAUGUAGCAUAUGCAGCAUAGCACUCGGCUUCGACGUAUUCAUUUUCUUGGCUUUCGAGUGUAGAAGGUGGAGGAAAGCAAUUUGUAGAGACAACACAACAUAUACGACAAUCAGGAUCCCGAUUGAUGACCACUUUGUUAAAACCUUCCCUGUUUCCGAUUAUGCUUAACGAAGUUCGAUUAUUAUUGAAGUAUAAAUAAAUUUCCUUAUAAGCUAGAAUUCUCCUACAUAGAUUGGCUUUCACCUUCCCUGGUCCAUUUCUUAUAUGUUUAUGAAAGUUGUAAUUAUUAAUAAAUAUAAUUAUAAAACUCUAUCAAAACAAUAUAUACACACAUUCAUUCAUUCGUACGUACAGGUCACCCUUUUCAUCAAUAUUCAUGUAUCCUGGUAAUAAUUUUUGUAAGAUACAAGCAGUAAGUUUUUUAGUAAUACAAACAUUAUUACUAUAAACAACAAAAACCAAUAGAAACAUUUCCUUUAAAUUUGAACAAUUUACAUAUAGUUCUGAUUACAAACAUAGAAGACCACCAUAUACAUAAACUUGACAAUAGAUAAGAAAGCAAAUACAUAUGAAACACAAGAACCCUAACACAUGACAAAUUGCUACCUUCACGACAACUAUUCUCCCACAUAUACUUUACCUUUCUAACCACCCGAUUACAUAGAACUUGCAAACUACACUCAUAUAUAUAUAAGAAAGACAAAAAGAUUCACCUCACGACUUGUUCUAGAUUGCUGUUUCUUUGCACAGGGCUAGAAACAUCAGUGCCCACUCUCAGGUUACAUAGCAAGGCAUCACGUCCCGUCAGAAGAAUUUGGAAGAAGCCAUCUACUUCCUUUAAGAGGAUAUCUAAGCCUUCUGAGAAACUGGAUGCACUCUUCCCCAAGUUUGAUAUGCAAUUCUUGUACUCUUCAGCCUCCAUAGAGUUGGGGCCAUCUUCAACUAAGGGGUACAGCUUCUUGACAACAACAUGAAUUGCUUGGAGUUCUUUCAAUACAGUAACACCCCCAGAGGAAUAUAUAGUUCUUAUUUCUCCAUUAACAAAAGCCUGCAAGCUGGUAAAAGCCUCUGCCCACAAGUACUUUUCUGGGACAUGUAGAUCCAUUAACUUCUUUGAAGAACCAGAGAAAGCAGCGGCAAAUAUUCUGCAGACAAAAACAGUAAGUACCUUAACACCGUACAUAGCAUGCAACAAAACUUUCCCUUUGGAUGAGUUUUUGACUUUUGGUUCAUUAAGUGUUGCAACAAGAUUAUCUAAGACGGAAAAGCAAUUCUCAGUUUUAGAACUUUUUAAAGUAAUGUGAUGCUUCCAGUCAUCAAGUGAAGAUCGUGCACGUAUGAAUUGCUUUGAAGGUAUGGAAUCCAGAUUGCGCAUGACACAUUGGAGAAAGAGGUGACCUUGCUUGAGUCGUGAUAGUUCUGCUGAAAAACCAAUGCAUAUAUCAAGCAUCUUAACACUAUUGUCCAAGUAUACAUCAAUCCAUUUGUCAUCCCAGUCGGAUACAGGAAGUUCAAGAGCCGUUAUUAAUGUUUUUAUGUCUGUAUGUACUGCACAAAGUGAAUCCAUUGCAAGUCUCAUCCAAGACAAGGUCAACACAUCUUCACUGUCCUUUGGCUUAAGCUUUCUCAACCUCUCUGCCAAGGCUUCCUCAAAACUGUUUAAAAGAGCAAUCAACCUGGGAGAGAGAUGUGAUCCCUUGGGUAAUAUCAUGCGGAAAGGGUUUCCAAAGGGGAAGAGAGGUCUUUGUGAUUCCUGUGGGCGACUCAUUUCAAUGUAUUAUCUGCAAAACAAAACAAUGUAGCAUUCUAAUACAAGAUUGACAAGGAUGUAAAAAGGAAACCACACCAUAAUAUCAGCUUAGGCACAUAAAUAUAUCAUUUGGCUUUGGCCAAAGUCCAAAAUGGUUACAUUUGAACUCUUUCUGUUCUGCAUUCCCUGAACCAGGUACUAGCGUUCCGAAUCGUGGUAUAGGAACUUCAAUACCUUGAGUAUGUGCUAUAGGUAGUGUUCCUCAUACCCUUUUUCGUCCCGUGUACCAUACUGAUCAGCAUUCCUAAUAACCACAACACAGUAUACAUCAUAUGGGUAUAUGAAAAUUACUAGACCCUGUGAUGGAAGCACGCACAAGAAGCACAAAACAACAUCAUCUGACAGAUCAUAAACGUCCUAAAAUUCAUGAGACAUACUGGACCUCGUAUUAAAAUCAUAUCCCCACGCAUUAAAACAGGAAUCAUGCCCUCAUGUGUUCUAAGUUACAGUGUUCACCUAUGUUACUCGGACUCUUCAUUUUGCCUCGAAGUACCCGUGUCGGACACUCGACACUGGGACAUGGGCACUUGGACUAGGACACUUAUUUUAGGCCAAAAACAUGUAAAUUUGUCAUAACUUGGACUAGGACUUCUAGCCGAGUCCGAGUAACAUAGGUGUUCACCAAUAAACACAACACCCACACCACUCGAACCACAUGUCAUAUAAAAUCCUCAUGGUGCAAUUGCAGGUCUAACUUCUUCAUAAUCAAGCAGUCCAAAUCGCCUUACAAAGUCAUGUUACACAAAACAAAAAUUACUUCCACUUACAGUUAACACAUUUCAUAAACAUCAAUUCCGGGUAGUUUAACUCAUAUUUCUUAACACAAUUACGUUGACUUUGUUUUCCGCCCUAAAUUUUAAUCCAAAACAAUUUCACGCUAAACCGUAAACUCAAGCGUAAAUUCAACAGAAACUGCAACUAAUCAACCAAAUCAAAUGAAAUCAAUUCCAAGCUAGUAACAAACAGAUACAUAUGUCCAGAUCUACACACAUUAUAAAGUUUGACCAAACAAAAAUGAGAAAAUCUAACAAAUUAAUGAAAAAUUAGCUUUAAUCAUUAUAUUUACAGCACGAAUUGAACAAAUAACAAACCAGAUCAUCAAUUACACAAAUGCAACCGUUACAAAACAAUAUCAACAAAAGAUACUUAGAAAUAACACAUAUAUGAAAUAAACAAGAUUAAUUAAUAACAGAAAUACUGACAUAUAGAAAGAGAUAAAAGCGUACAUGAUUUAACGAAAGCGGCGGCGAUUAACGAAGACGAAGAGGCGAUAAGAGUAGUAGCAGAAGUAGUUCUCCUUUGCUGUGGUGUUUGAUUUUUCUCACUUAUUUACUUUAUUAUUAUUAUUAUUUUGGAAUAUUAUUAUAUUUGUACACGUGUCGAGUUCUGGCUGGAGCCAUGGCCUUUUUUCUUUUUCAUCUUUCUUUUUUCUUUUUCUAUUAAAUUGGACCAUUUCUUUAUUGGACUUUGACUAGUUGUAUGCUGUGGCCUUAGCCCAAGGGUUAUUUUUGGUAUACGUUGAUUUACUACAUAAGACUGUAGAGCUACAAUUUUGCAAAUUGGGGGAUUAUCAGUUUUUGUGUUUAAUGCUUUUGCCCUUAAAAUUUUAGAACUAAAUUUUUGCGAUAUUCUUGUUACACAACUUUCCAAAAGGGGUAUUUAGAAUCAAACCGGAUAAAAAAUUUGUAAGACAUUACACCGAAUAAAUAAAUAAGAAAUAAAUGAAACGGACCAAGCACAUGAGACUAGAGAGAACAUAUAGCAAAAUGUGAAGUCUUACUAUAAAGAGAGAAAUUUAAAAUGCACUUGCUUGCCCCAAAGGCUCCCUCUGGCCAUUCUAUCACCUUUACUACCUCGGUAGCUAUCCCUUUAGAUAUGACUCCCCAUAACUGGGUGUAGACGUGUUAUGUUCCAUAUGCAAGAGAAGCAAUGAGAAUAACAGAAUAUUCGAGGAAUUAACAAAGUGUUACAUGUAAUUCUAGCUGCUGUUGUAAUCCUUUAGUCUGUCUUCUUAUCGGGUUCGUCAAUUGCAGCCAAUCGUUCAACUAGUGGAGGAUGUGAGUAAUGAUAAGCGGAAUACCAUGGAUCUGUGUUCAUAGCUGAUAGGUUUUCCUCCUGAGUCACGGAAGUUGGGCAUUGAGAUGAGGUGAGGCUUUGUGAUAAAGUCAGCAAUGUAAAAAAGGCAAGGCAUCCAAAGUAACGAAAUGUUUAGACAUUUAAAGUAAAUGAUUGCAGAAAAUUACCUGCAGUUUCACAAGAGCGGCUCGUAGUGGUGUGGAAUACCCAAGACUCUUGGCAAAAGCGUCGGCCUUUAGUUAUAAAUGUAAGUCAGAAUUUAGAUAGAGAAAUGAACAUGUUUAGAGAGAAUAAAUAUCAACUAUGCUCGCAAGAUUACUACAGUACCUGGAACUCAAAAGCUCGGCUAACAAGAUUAAGAGCAAAGCUUACUACGCGCUGGAGUGGCAUUACAGUGUGCUGUCAAAAGCAAAAAAUUUAAGAUUGUGAAGGACACAAGAAAAUAUUGCCAAGAUACUAAGCACCAACAUUUUCAACAAAAUUUAGAAUGUUAAUCUGUAAUAAACACAUUUAAUCAGAUUCACCAUUUUCUCUUUUCUAAUACCACUAAUGAUAUAUAUCUAACAUGUCAUCAAUAUAACAAUAUUUUGACAUAAGAUAAAGGGCAGAGUGGGGCAUGACAUUCAUUCAAUUCAACAUUACCUGAAAAAGGAUGAGCCCAAUGAGGACUGGUUGUGUAUCAAAACCAAAGCUCUGAAACAGAUCGUUGGAAUUUCUAACAAGAGUAUACCCUCCAAACUGUGAGAAUGAGAGAAUCUGCAACAGCAUAUAAGAUGAGAAGAUCAGUCACAGAACCCCAAUGUUAAUACUAUUAACCUAAUCAUUCAUUUAGUUAUUAAGUUGAUUGAAACAAAAACCAAACACAAAAGUUAUAAGAACAACUAAUCAUAAUCACUAAUUGCUAGUGUUGGAUUUAGAUUAAAUUUAAAUGAAACAUUCAUCGAAUUUUUAAAUAUAUGAAAACAUUAAUUUAAUUACACAGGAAUGCAAACAGAGUGACUCAAUGCAAUCGAGCAAUUGAUGUUGGACUGAAAUGAUCAACAGUCACCUUUUGCAUAACCGUACAAGAUUUUUUGAGGUAUUACAAGAGCAAAAAACAAUAUAGAUCAAGUGGCAAAGCAUGACAACUUAAUAGAUUAUAAUUAUAUAUACCAUACCUGAACAGCAACAAAUGUGAACAUGGUGUGAUUAAGCUUCCAGUGACCCAAUUCAUGGGCGAUAACAGCAACGAUUUCCUCCUCAUCUUUGCACUGCAUAUCAUCAAGUGUUGAAGUCAGAUGAUAUUUUUAUUUUCCGAAAACAAAUUUCUUGUCAAAAUUACGAUUUGAGGUCGCUUGAAAAAUGCAGAACAGAGAUGCUUUUCUUAUUACAUGGAAAUAAACAAACUUAUAUGGCUUUUGAUUUCAAUUAACUUAAAAUAGGAGUAUGAGAUAAUAGCAUAAUGCUAAGGCUCAUGUUUAAGACCAGCAAAGUUACUGAAGAGACACCAGAUGCAUAAGUAAUUAGGUCAUAAUUCAGUGAACAUAUCAGCACGAAGGUAUUUCUGUCUUGGCAUAAAGUCUCCGUCAUGUAACUGUGACCGAGAGCUUAGCAAAUGAUGAAAGCAUGCCAGGCUUAACUCUGAGUGCCAGAAAGCAAAUAGUGAGGUUUGCCAACUAUACCAUAACAAAGUGUUUCUUAUAGAACAGAAUAAAAUACAGAACACCGUACGUAAAAAACAGGUUUUCUAUCAAUUUAGAAUAAAUAUAGAAAUCAUGUUGAUUAUGAACUGGACAAUUGUGAUUGAACUAGUAAUACCUGUUGAAUCAAUGUGUCAUAAAGAACGAUACGCUUGUUCUUAAAGAAUCCAUACAUAUAAGCCUGCAUAUUGUCAAGAAGUUGAUUAUUUCGAAAUCAGCACGGAAAGGGACAUCCAAAAACAGGUAUAGUGCACAUUGUAAACCAACCAACCAACUCCCCCCCCCCCCCCGCCCCACCCACCNNNNNNNNNNNNNNNNNNNNNNNNNNNNNNNNNNNNNNNNNNNNNNNNNNNNNNNNNNNNNNNNNNNNNNNNNNNNNNNNNNNNNNNNNNNNNNNNNNNNNNNNNNNNNNNNNNNNNNNNNNNNNNNNNNNNNNNNNNNNNNNNNNNNNNNNNNNNNNNNNNNNNNNNNNNNNNNNNNNNNNNNNNNNNNNNNNNNNNNNNNNNNNNNNNNNNNNNNNNNNNNNNNNNNNNNNNNNNNNNNCCCCCCCCCCCCCCCCCCCCCCCCAAAAAAAAAAAACAAUAGCCUUCAAUAUUAUGCCUCUCACAAACAAUUUAAGAUUCAGUAAGGAGACUACAAUAUUCUUGAGACCUAAAUAUAAGGAAAUCCACCAUGUCAUCACUCAUAAUUUUAGAACUACAACAUAAUAAUUUCUAUUUGCCUACUGAUAGUAACUGUAGAAGUAGAAAUUCUAGAACUGUACUUCGAAGGGGGCUAGGUUUUUAUAUCAGCAUUGCUUCUCCUGAAGUUAUGCUCUCACAUCAUGUCUCUCAUCCCAUCAUGCUCUAGAUUUUACAAGGUAUGACCACAAAUGCAAAAAGGAAUCCAAUUUAUUUUGAGCAUCUUUUCGGCAUAAGCUUGCUGGUAUUAUAUUUUAAAGGCAUCUAUAUAUGGGAGAGUCUCACAAGGAAAUUAAUAUAAUAUGAAAGAAGAAACCAAACUUAGCUACAAAUGCUAUCUAGGCUACUAGGCUCUUUUGCUGUGAAUCAUGACUAGGUGCCCAAAAUUUACUUGUCGCUUAUUGAACACCAAAAGAAAUUGUUACCCAACAAGAACAAGAGGAAUACAAUAUACCAAGUAGAGUUCUCACAUUGCUGUGGCUUGACCGAGUAGAUCCAUCAACAACAAACAACUUCUUUAAAGGAAAUUGGAGGGAGGAAGCAAGUUUCUCAAUCUUUGAUCUAAGUUCUCCUUCUGGAAGCUAUUUUUUGCAUCAAAACUCUAGGUGUAAGCAUUUGAAAAGAAAAUUAUAAGAUCUUGAGUAUGACAUUGAAAUAUCCCCAAAGAGUGGAGCUUACAGGAGUGAAUUUGUUAAAGAGUGGAGCUAUUAGAAUAGGGUAAAUAGUCAUCAUCACGAGAGAUAAAACGAACAUAAAUCCCCAAAGAUAAAUUGCCAAGUAGGGACCUCCUUUCUGCAAAAGAAUUUAUAUCUUUAUGUAGUCACUAUAAAAAAUAACUGUUAAAUACUAGGCAGGAACAUAUAACUCGCAAAUACUAUAGUUUAAGUACCUGUACUAUUACUAUGAUCGCAGCAACAAUUGGAGGCCCGAUUACAAUUGAUAGGACAAUUCCUUUUAUCAUGUCUCUAAAGAAUAACCAUAUUGUUUGCUGCAUAAUAAAAAAAACAUUUAUAACAAGUAAUCUAUUUGCCCAAAACAAACCACGGGAGAGAGAAACUAAACAUAUACCAGAUAUAGACAAACUUUAUCAAGUUCUAGUAGAAUAUACUCACUUUGUUGAAACCAUGGCGGGCUUCAAUCACAAAAGUUGAAUACAGUGAAAAGGGCAAAUCAGUUAUCUACAAGGAAAUAAAAAAACAACUGGUGAUGCCAUAUGAAUGACAAAGCUUUCAGAUAUAUCUGGAACAAUCUAAUUAUAGAUAUAACAGUUAAUGUAGUAUUAUCGAAUGAAAUGUACACUCAAUGAAACACAUUAUGACCUUAAAUUGAACUACAAUGAGCUGAUAUGCUAAAUACAUUUAUAUAGCCUUUUCAGGAGGAAGAGAAAGUCCUCUCCUGUAUAAAUGCACUGUCGCAGAAAUCACUUGUGGAUUGAAUUUGUCAAACCUGACCCAGAUGAGAGAAGGGCUGGAUCUUGCCAGGCAACAAGAUCAGUGCCACAUAAUAUUAUUUUAGCUCCCUGGUUUAAUGCCACGUAAUAUAACAUUAAAAUCUCACCUGUGACCAAAACAUAACACCAACUAAGAAUGAAAGAGUGCGUAGUAUCUCAUUCUCUGCAUUGAGGCCGGCCGUCACCAAAAAUGAUCCUGAUUUCUGCAGAGUAAUACACACAAUAUAAAUUACAUGAUGAAAAAUACAGUAAGAGAUUGAAAACUUAGAAAAAACACACUGGAUACUAACCUUCCAGAACCAGGGCAAUACCCCAAAGUACAAAAUUGCAGACUCCAUCAAUAUACUUACAAACUCGUGAAAAAUAUGGAAGUUGCUGAAAGCCAUCAGUGAAAGUUAUCAAUUAUAAGCAGAAGAUUGCUUAAGCGAGCAGUAAUCACUUUACAAAGAGUUAUAUGAUGAGAAAACCUUUUAUCAAUACUAUAUGCUCUUGACUUUUCAAACUUUUCUUGGCUUAUCACACCUUCCAAAGUUUUUGGGAGCUUCGGCAACUUAAGAGCAGUAUGUUGGCGUAGAUCAAGGUAACUCUCAAAGAUAUACAUCAAUAUCAUAAACCCUGAAAAAUAACAUAAAGGAGAAUAUAAAAACAUUAGAGACAAAACAAAUAGUACAUUAUUUAGAACUUUGUGAAAUGCAAACAGAUGACAUGACCAGGGGAUUAUGAGUAAAAAAAUAAUUAUUAUCAAUAAUGCAUUUGGUAGAGACAGACUGGUGAGGCUAGAGAGGAUAGAAAAGAAGUUGGUGCAUUUCCUCUGAAAACAAUCAGCAAUCUGUUGUGCCACAUAUAAUAGACCUAGCCUAGUUUCAGAUUUCCUUAGUAAGCUUUGAAAUGUACGAAUGUGACCAUUAUGUGCAGGAAGCGCUUAUAUAAGCUCCGUAAAAUUAGAAGCGCUUAUAUAAGCUCUGUAAAAUUAGGAAACGCUUAUAUAAGCUCCGUAAAAUUAAGGAACUUCCAUCAGUAGUCUCAGUAGAAAAGAACUGGUUCAGUUCGGUUACACCUCACCUAUGUCUUUACGAAGCUCAAGAAAAACAACUAGUUCAAUCCUAUUGCAUCAUCAACGUACACGCUUAAAAUUGAGGUCUAAUUAGCCACUGCAGCAAUCAAGCAAUCACAUACCUCUACAUUUCGAAAUUACUAGUACAAUCUAAACACAACUUUUUAUCUUACAAGCAGCCAACCCAAACAACCAAAAGCACAAGAAGAAAAAUUAAGCACUCGGGUGUUCUUGUUGACAGUCAUUAAAUUAACACCCAUUGACCUAAAAACACAUGUGGACAAACCUCAAGAAAACAGUAAUUUCCACAAAUAUAUAUUAUCAAGAAAACCCAGAAACAGAAUCAAAAGAGAACCAUUUACUAAUCAAAAAUCAAGUCUCUUGAGUGAGUUUUUUUUAACGAAAAAGAUUUAAAAUUGAUGGUGUAAAUGUAAAAAUCUGUAAAAACGAAAAAAAGGGUGUUAAAGAAAGAAAGAGAUAGUGCAGAUGUACCAACAACAGCUUCCAUAUAUGGAAACGCCAUGACUGAUUCUGCAGCUGAGUUGUGCAGCCUAAACAAGGUAAAAUAUCUAUUAGCAAGAUAUGUGUGAUUAUAGGGUGAAAUUUGUAAAUGGGUCAUCCACCGGGUCGGGUUGUUUAUUUUUCAUUUUCAUAUACAGAUUUGGAUUUGGAGACCGUGAAAUUUUUUUAAUUCGAUCUAUUAUAUUAAAUAUUAAAAAUUUGUAAAUUAUUUUAUGUUCUCUGAUAUAUUCUAAAAUAAAAAGGGUAAAGUCAAAUAUAUUAAGUGAAUAUUUUUAUUUAUUAUAAGAAAAUCUAUUAAUAAUUUUAUCAUUAAAUUAAAAUGUGUUAGAAUUGAAAAUGUUUCAACUCAUAUUCAUUAGUUGUGUGGUUAAAAGGACACAACAAUCAAAAAUAUUAAUUAAUGAAACAUUGUUUAAAGUAAAAAAAAAAAGAAAAAAGAGAAUAGUUGUUACAGAAAAAAAAAACAUUUAUAAUGCCACAGGAUAGUAAUUGUAUGUUUCUAUAGUUGUAUCGAGGUCAAGGGGCAUUUGCUUUUCCAGAUCACAAUUUAUAUGAUAAUGAUUUUGGUAAGCGCAUGUCCCAGCAAGUCAAGUCUGAGAGACAUUUGCUUCUCAAAAUCACGAUCCACAUAUUAUCGAUGGACAUGGCAUCGACUUUAUAAGCACGGGUCAUAACAAGUCCAAUGCAGCUCUAUAAUCUGAUUUGAUUGUAUCACUAUAAUGAGCACUAAUACGAGGUAGACGCAUGAAAGAAGUAGUUAAAUUCAAUAUCAUACUUGAAUGAAUAAUAAUUGCACUGCCCAAAAUGCGUACUUUGCAACUAGUAUUGAAAGCCUAAAUCAUCAUCUCUUAGCAUCAAAACUCACUUUUUAAUGCCAUAUGCCAACAUAUAACGACUAUAGUUAGUUUACAAUUAGCCUCUUGACAAUGACUAAAGUCAUUUUACAAAUAGCACAGACUACCUCUAUAUAAAGUAUAUACUAUAAUUCUUUUGCUAAAAAAAACUGUAUACUAAUUUCUCUUCCGCUAUAGACAAUAAAAAAAUAUACGAACCCAGAACCACGAAACAAAACAUUAAAUUACAUCAACAUCUAAACAUCUAAGUUACCAAGUCUAGAAUGAAAAAAGAAAAAAAAAGGUGUAUGAGGCUCUUUUUUUAGAUAAUCAUCUCGAUAGAUGCAGGUAAUAUACAAAACUUCCGAGGAAGGAACCCUAAGAACUCUCCAUCCGACUGAACAUAUAUGUUGCUGUUACCAGAGACCUCCUCUAUUUCCAAAGUCUGUGCACUGCAGGAAAAAAAAAACAAGAUUAUAACAAUCAUUGUUAAAAAAUUAUUGGAAAUGAAAGGCAAUUUACAGGAACAAACAAUCAGUACUCAUGAGCAACUAUAUGACUAAACUCUAAUACAGUAAUACCUCUUAUCUGACUGCUUCCCAUAUGUAGUUAGCACUUAGCACAACUACGGAACCAGUAGAAACACAAUCAUAUGAUCAAGAAGACGACUCUUUACAUUAUAACUAUAUACACUGGUUAGAUGUCCCGCGAAACAAUAAAUUAGACUCGACAACAUCUGUCAAACCAAACAUCUCUCUAACCAUCUCUAUCACUCCUUUCAUGACUUAAAAUAUAAACCUUCGCCAAUUUCAAUUUAUGCCAAAUGAUUUGAAGGGAUAUUACAUCACCUUUGACUAUUUAGGUCAUAAAAGAUUGAUCCACUCAAAACUACACAUUGUGAACUAAGUUUGAGAUGAAGACAGGCAUUAUAUGCAUAAACAUCUUAAUCAUGGAGUAAUGCCCUCCAUGUGAUACGCGGCAUAGGCAAUAUUAACUGCAUUUAGAUUAAAAUUUAUCUUGAUAUCCUCUAUGAUCAAUCUACUAGCCAAAAACACUCUGUGACACACUAGUAUGCAAGCUAUCAAGUAAAUAUGCAGAAAGAAGAUUUAGAAACCAUAACAAUAAUAUAGCAACUUUUCCAAACUUGAUUACCCUUCAAACCACACUCAUUCUAGACAUCAAAUUUGGGUCCUUUAAAUUUAAUUUUAUCAAAACUAAUGAUUUUAUCUCAUCAAAACCUUUUUGAAUACAUCUAAUUAUGUUCGACCUACUACUCGCUCAACAUUUUGUUUCUAAACUUUUUGUAGUAAUUCACAUCGAAUCUGAAUAUGGAAAGUGAGCCAAAAAUUAAUUCAGAGUCAAAGCAAUAUCCAAUCAAACUCAGGGGGGGGAGUAUAAUACUGAAUAGGAAUGAUACUGCGAAAAAUUGCAAAUGGGACAUGGUAUUUAUUUUCAUUCAUCAUAACCAAGUUGCAUCUUUUCCAAUAAAUUCAGCCAGUUACAGUCCUAAUAGUGCACUUUGUUUCCAUUUAAUUUUUCAUCGAAGCAUUAAAUAAACGAUAAUUUUACAUGCUUAAAAUUUAAUAAUCUUCAAUUUCAUGAGACUGUGCUCAAGAAAAGUCCAUACAAGUUACUAAACCAAGCAAGCAGGAAAACAUAUCGAUGGAAAGAUAUACUCCAUUCAAUACAAAUGAACAAGAUAUACUGGAAGAAAGAAAUACCUUACUGAAGACACAUUCUUUACUGAUAAAUGUGUACCAUUAUACAACCUGUGCAAAUAACGGAUGAAGUGAUACCAUUUGAAGUCCUGAAGAGUCACAACCUGCAAAGACAGUUAGGAGCUGAUUUAAUUACAUGGCCAGCACUAGUGAUGCAUAUAAUAAAAAAUAUGAACAAACUUAGUCGUGAAUAUAUAUACACACAUUAAGUUUACCUCAAAAUUUCCGCUUCUUGGGUCAGCAUUAGGAGUGAUCUUCAUUCCACCGCCAAAGAAUUUAGCAUUUCCGAUACACAAAGCUGUAACUUGAGAAUAUACUUCCCACUCACCCUCAUUGACCUGAAGAAGCCAAUGUCAGUUCAAUCUGAAUCAAUAUACACGUACUAUCUGUAAUACUAAGUUACAGAUAUAGUGCAAUACGAAACAAAUCGUUAAACACAUGACCUUAAUCUUAAGAUCCUGGUUCUGAUGCCCAAAAAAGGCUUGCAAUGCACCAAUAACAUAACAUAGGUUCCCAAAUCUUUUGUACUUGGAUGCAUAAUAACCUGCUUUCGCAGUCCUGCAAUAUUUAAGGAAAAAAAUUAUAUGCAGCUAAUUUAUGUGUUUUUCAUGACCUUGGUUACCAGUGAUUUUCUUCAAAAAAGUGUCCUUACAAAUGGAUGUCUGCAACAUUAUUGAAAUAGUGAUAUUCACCAUCUUCUCCCCUGAUAACUCCAAUGUCAAUCCGAGACCUUUGUCCUGCAUGACCCCUUCAAUUAGUAGACGAAAGAAUAUAUCCCCCAAGCAGCAACUUUUAGAUCAAAACAAACUUUUGCUGCUAAACCAAUUGAACGAAGUACUAAAAGAGAAAAAGGAGAGAAUCAUCCGGUGGAUCAUGGAUGUAACCUUUUGCUAUGCGUUCAAUUGCAUCCUCAGGAUUGUUUUUCCUGAUGAAAUAAAUUACAGCUUAGAUUUCUAUCCAAGGACUUCCAAACAAACGAUAUAAAUUAAUAUCAUACAGCAGGGGAUAAGAAAAGGUGAAGCGUAGACUAACCAAUUUAGCGUCCUUGCAAAGUCAGAACCAGUUCCCAAUGGAAUCAACUGCGGAAUAUGCAUAGCAGAGAUCGAGGGUUAAAUUACAUAUAUUGUAAGAGCACAAAAAUUUAAAAUUGUUGCUAGAGCUGCCAAGCUUACACCAAGCGCAGUUGUAUGAGAAACUUCUGGGUCUUCACAAGGAACGGGUUUUCCGCCCCAGAAGAACCCAUUAGUAACCUGACAAGAAUUUAAAUAUAUCUAUAUAAGACACUGUUUAAAAUUUUUUAAAAAAAAUAUUUGACGCAUUUUAUAGCAAAAAUCCAAGAAAAGGAUAUGUUUGCACGAUCCAAAAAGGUAGACGGAAACGACAAAAAACAACACAUGAAACUUACACAAGAAAUAUGAAGCCUAAGCCAGACUAGGUUCCAACAAACCAAUAAAAGGUUCUACUUCCAAAACAUUCUAUCCAGAUACUUUACACAACCAACUGUUUGACUGCUUGUAAUAAAACAAGUGUACAUAUUACAUUUAAGAUUCUUAAUACCGGUUAUUAUUAAAAAAAACGAGAACGUCAUAUGAUCUUGCAAGCCAAUUUCAGAUAAUUUUACUUUGAAAUAAUAGCCUGAAAUGCAUUCUUUAUACUUGAAAGUCGAUGUGUGUUUCCCAUUUCCAUAUGUAGAUUGUAGGAUACAUCUUGUAUGCUACAAGUUUAGAUUCCUGCCAUUAAAUUCUAUUAAAUUUACAAGUACAAAGAGAUCAUUGGUUUAUUACCAGCCAAAAAAUACUAUUAAAUAGAUCAGGUAUAAGGAGGCCGGAAGUUUAUGCAUACAUUUAAACAAUUUCCAAAGAUAGAUGGAAACGACAAGAAAACAUGUAAUGCCAUUUUGUUUUAUUUUUCGUCUGACUUAAUUGCUUGUCAAUAGAAUUUAUACAAGAUAAUUUCAAAGGUCCUAAAAGGAGCUUUAUGUUCACAAUAGGAAGCAAAAUACACCUCGUGAAGAGUUCCAUCACCUCCAACUGCAAUCACCGCAUCAGCUCCUUGUCGUAUAGCCUGUCAAAACAACUUACUAAAAACUUUAAGUAUUUCAAAUCAUCUGAUUCAAGUGUCAAGACGAGAGGGGCUAAAGAUAUUACCUCUCUUGUUAUGUCAAUAGCAUGGCAAGGUCCUGAAGUGAAAGAUUCGGAUAUCUGGUCAAACACGAAAAAAAACAAGGAUCAUGAAAUUGUAAUUAAGAUAAAAUAUCUAGCUAUCAACUGUUUGUAUAAAAAUAAAUGCAGCAAACUAAAAACAAAGCGUACAAAGAUGAUCAACUGUCAGACUCAGACAAGUCACUAGAACAACGUAGCAAAGCUUUUGAUACUAAUAGAGGAAUCGAAAAAGCAUCCCCCCAGGAAAGUACAACCUAAAAACCCUGCCUCAAUGUAGUUUCUAACAUGUCGAUAAAUCAUAAUGGGCCACCAUAGAAACAAUAAAGGCCAUACAAGUGCACAAAAUGCCGUAACUAGCACACAAGGCUCUCACUUAAGCAGGGACUGACAAAAUGUCAGAAAUAAGCAGCAUUUCUUGCAAAUUUAAAUAGAAUUUUGGGACAAUACUGAUGUGCAACCAGUUAUCAUCGAGCUAGCAUGCUAAGUACAUAUUUAAAAUCCUGUAAUAGUCACUAAUAAACAGAGAAUAUCAUAAAAAGGCGCAGACAUAACUAGGAAAGGAAGCAAGUUGAUACAACUCACAUUACAGUCAUUACCGAGGCGAGACCUCAAAUAUGGAAGCAAAUUCUUCCAAUCUUUACCUGUCCGGCCAUUAGCUCCUACACAAUUUGUCAUAGAAAUCAAUCAGUUAAACACUCAUUAAAUGAAUACAGUAAAGCAAAUAAUAGCACAUACAUGGAAAUAUAUACAUAGAGAGAUUGAGAUAAGGAGGAGGAGGAGAGAGAGAGAGAGAGAGAGAGAGGGGGGGAGGGAGGGAGGGGGAGAGAGAGAGAGAGAGAGAGAGAGUACCUUUAGGGUUGACGACGAAAACAAGGUCACGACGGCGAGAGUCGGUGGCGGAACGAGCGGGGGCGGCGGAGAAAUCGGGAGCCAUGGAAUUUUGUGGAGUGAGAAACAAGGAAGAAGAUUUAGGCACUGGCAGCAGCAUUGCUAUUCCGUAAUAAGCCAUCGCUUGGGUUCUUAAUAUGUGUGCCCCUGUAAAUGUGCUGAUGUGUAACUAGUAUUCAGUACUACUAGUUGGAAGAAGAUUAGCAGGAUGGGACUUGGGAGAGAUUAAUAUGGAUGUGAGAGAGAUUAAUUGGGGGCGAUCAGAAUGACAUCUAUUACCAUGUCAUCCUUCCUUUGUCUCUUCCUUGGGUGAAACGUAUGCAGCCUCGCUGUCUAGUUCUUAUCUACUGUUCAUCUCUCCCUUCCAGCUUCCGGUCUUGAGAAUUUAUGAGGUUUUUCAGUUUGAUUUUUGAAAUAAUACUGUAAAUCAAAUCAGGCCUUUUUAAUUUAAGGUCUGUGUGCGAGAUUUUAUAUUAAUAAAAUGAUGUUCUGUGUUAUUGAAAAUAUGGUAAAAAUAAAUAAAUUUAAUACAAUAUGCACACUACAUGUGGUAAGAAAGUUUUUGGUUUUUUGACACCGGAUGAGACUUUGGAUGAAAAGAUAAAAGUAAAAAUGGUUAAACAAAAUUUAUAAGAAAAAAUAAUAUUGUAAUUUGGAAGAACAAACAUAGUCACAUCAGGAAAAAAACUUGUUAAAUAUUUGCCCGAACGUUAAUUUCUCGUGGCAAAGACUUCUUAGUUAAAAAUUUAAAAUUUGUGUGACAUAUUUAAAUAGAUAUAAAUUAAAAUACAAGUCGAUAUCUACCUAUAUUUCAGGGGAAUGGAAGAUUUACGCGUCUGUUCGAUGAUGGGUGUGUAUAAUUGAGAUUAUAAAUAAAUUUCAUUCAUGAAAUUGAGAAUAUUCCUCUCGGUAUUUUUAAAUUUGACAAAAUUUUGGGAUAUUCGAUUAGAAUUUUAAAUUAUAAUGACAUUCUAUGGAUCUAAAAUAAUCAAAAAUUUCGUUAUCUUUCUCUUUAGAUAACAUCCUCUGGAUCUGAAAUAAUUAAAAAUUUCGUUGUCUUUCUUCCAAAUAAGUGGAUUUCAGUUUUAUUUCUUUUAAUUUUGUGAUUCUCCUUUAGAUCUAUUCUCGGAGAUAUUCUUAGGUCUAACACCACCGCAGAUUUAACUGUCUUUUUUUUUUGUCAUGAUAGAUUUAAAUGUCUUUAUUCUAUGUAUGAAGCGUGUGGAUUUUCGAUCCGAUUUACCGUGUUUUUGUUGUUUUCCUCCCGACUUAAGGUUUAUUAACUUUUAUUUGGUACUAUUUCGGUUUGGUGUAAUUGAAACGAUAACACAUGUGUUCACUUUAAAUGAGAUGCCCAUGCACGAAUUUUCAUUAAGUUUUUAGUUUGUUUGUUU